RNAcentral lists this ribosomal RNA (497 nucleotides) under uncultured bacterium. RNAcentral's name for it is "partial 16S ribosomal RNA". It matches the Rfam family "Bacterial small subunit ribosomal RNA", at positions 28 to 507 of the family's 1533-position model. The record is from RNAcentral.
GAUGAACGCUGGCGGCGUGCCUAAUACAUGCAAGUCGAGCGAACGGACGAGAAGCUUGCUUCUCUGAUGUUAGCGGCGGACGGGUGAGUAACACGUGGAUAACCUACCUAUAAGACUGGGAUAACUUCGGGAAACCGUAGCUAAUACCGGAUAAUAUUUUGAACCGCAUGGUUCAAAAGUGAAAGACGGUCUUGCUGUCACUUAUAGAUGUAUCCGCGCUGCAUUAGCUAGUUGGUAAGGUAACGGCUUACCAAGGCAACGAUGCAUAGCCGACCUGAGAGGGUGAUCGGCCACACUGGAACUGAGACACGGUCCAGACUCCUACGGGAGGCAGCAGUAGGGAAUCUUCCGCAAUGGGCGAAAGCCUGACGGAGCAACGCCGCGUGAGUGAUGAAGGUCUUCGGAUCGUAAAACUCUGUUAUUAGGGAAGAACAAAUGUGUAAGUAACUGUGCACAUCUUGACGGUACCUAAUAAGAAAGCCACGGCUAACUACGUG